GCCGCGAAUACAGCACCAGUAAAGGAUUCUCUCGGUUACAUCAUCUUAAGUCAACGCCGAUAAAUCCCAACUCGCCCGCAUUCGUAAUGCGAAGGUCGGGGGUUCGAUUCCUCUUUCCGGCACCA
This 125-nucleotide transfer RNA is filed under the name Paraburkholderia sp. HC6.4b. Its description in RNAcentral is "tRNA-Thr". The record is from RNAcentral. RNAcentral also lists the same sequence under 1 other name. Lineage: Bacteria; Pseudomonadati; Pseudomonadota; Betaproteobacteria; Burkholderiales; Burkholderiaceae.